UAUAUUUUAGUAUAAAUGUAUUUAAGUUUUUGAUACUUAAGGGAAUAGUUAAAUUCUAUUAAAUAUAG
This 68-nucleotide transfer RNA is filed under the name Curculionoidea sp. 19 KM-2017. RNAcentral's name for it is "tRNA-Gln". Lineage: Eukaryota; Metazoa; Arthropoda; Insecta; Coleoptera. The record is from RNAcentral.